GUCUCACAGUUUGAUCCUGGCUCAGAACGAACGCUGGCGGCGCGCCUAAUACAUGCAAGUCGAGCGAGAAGGUGUAGCAAUACACUUGUAAAGCGGCGAACGGGUGAGGAACACAUGGGUAACCUACCAUCGAGUGGGGAAUACCAGCCGAAAGGUUGGCUAAUACCGCGUACGCCUGCGGGUCUUCGGAUUCGCAGGGAAAGCCACACUGAGAGUGUGGCGCUCAUUGAUGGGCUCAUGUCCUAUCAGCUUGUUGGUAGGGUAACGGCCUACCAAGGCUUUGACGGGUAGCUGGUCUGAGAGGACGAUCAGCCACACUGGCACUGCGACACGGGCCAGACUCC
This 344-nucleotide ribosomal RNA is filed under the name uncultured bacterium. RNAcentral's name for it is "bacterial SSU rRNA". It matches the Rfam family "Bacterial small subunit ribosomal RNA", at positions 1 to 339 of the family's 1533-position model. The record is from RNAcentral.